GUGCUCACCUUGGGUACAUAUACUAAAAUUAGAACCAUACAGAGAAGAUUAGCAUGGCUCCUAUGCAAGGAUGACAGACAAAUUCGUGAAGCAUUCCAUAUUUUU
Homo sapiens (human) is the source of this 105-nucleotide small nuclear RNA. The record is from Ensembl. Lineage: Eukaryota; Metazoa; Chordata; Mammalia; Primates; Hominidae.